GACGAACGCUGGCGGCGUGCUUAACACAUGCAAGUCGAACGGAAAGGCCCUGCUUUUGUGGGGUGCUCGAGUGGCGAACGGGUGAGUAACACGUGAGUAACCUGCCCUUGACUUUGGGAUAACUUCAGGAAACUGGGGCUAAUACCGGAUAGGAGCUCCUGCUGCAUGGUGGGGGUUGGAAAGUUUCGGCGGGUGGGGAUGGACGCGCGGCUUAUCAGCUUGUUGGUGGGGUAGUGGCUUACCAAGGCUUUGACGGGUAGCCGGCCUGAGAGGGUGACCGGCCACAAUGGGACUGAGAUACGGCCCAGACUCCUACGGGAGACAGCAGUGGGGAAUAUUGCACAAUGGGCGGAAGCGUGAUACGGCAACGCCGCGGGCGUGAUGACGUCCUGCGGGUUGUAAACCGCUUUCGCCUGUGACGAAGCGUGAGUGACGGUAAUGGGUAAAGAAGCACCGGCUAACUACGUG
This 468-nucleotide ribosomal RNA is filed under the name uncultured bacterium. RNAcentral's name for it is "partial 16S ribosomal RNA". It matches the Rfam family "Bacterial small subunit ribosomal RNA", at positions 28 to 507 of the family's 1533-position model. The record is from RNAcentral.